This 217-nucleotide long non-coding RNA is filed under the name Hordeum vulgare. RNAcentral describes it as "long non-coding RNA (HVUL_LNC020253)". The record is from RNAcentral. Lineage: Eukaryota; Viridiplantae; Streptophyta; Magnoliopsida; Poales; Poaceae.
GCUGCUAGCGGCUGGUGUGUGUCUUCAUCAUCGUCGAGCUGCGUCACGGUGAUGGAGAUAGGUAUGUCGCCUGGUAAGUUGUGUCACCGGCGGCAUGGAGGAGGUGGCCAUGGAGCGGAGGCCAUUACCAUAGGGAGUUCCAUGUGCGAGUCGUCGACAAGGUGCGUCAUCGUCGACAACAUGAAGGUGAGUCACCGGCGAGUUGUGUCACCGGUGA